GUUUUGUCUCAGGGUUUUGGAGUCUAUUGUGCUGAUAACGUGUUGUAAUUAUAGAGUUUAGAGACUGAAUAUUUAUGUGUUCUUAUUAAUGAUCAAGGGGGUUCAUUUAUAUAAGACUCGCGAGAUGUAGAUAAAUGGAAAGUAUCCAAACCUAAACUCACUAGGAUUAGGAAAACUACUAAUACAUAAUAAUGGAAAUAUUACAUCUACUAGGAAAAAGAAAGGGUUUCCUUUUCUCUAAGCUUUGUGGCCGUCUCUCUCUCUCCUAAAUUCGGCUCUCUCUCUCCUCUCUCUAGGCUUCGGCCAUCUCUCCAUCUUCUAGGUAUUGGGCCGGUCUCGGUCCGAACCUGGUUAAUGGCAAUCCACUCCGUGAUUUAUAACAGUUUUGUAAUUAAUAUGAGUGUUAUUAGAACAAUUUAGUUGUACUAAAUCUGUCUUUCCGCUGGAGCUUUUCCUAGUUCCUGACUUUCUUUUUUUUUUGUAAAAAGGCUUUCAAUUUGAAAAAAAUGUACAAGAUGUGAUUUGUUAGAUCACAUGGUUUUGGAAAAUUUAGUACAUAAUGUAAGCAAAGAAAGAGUUAUAACAACCUAAGAGACUUUUACAACUCUUU
Molecule: long non-coding RNA, 610 nt
Filed under: Brassica napus (rape)
Lineage: Eukaryota; Viridiplantae; Streptophyta; Magnoliopsida; Brassicales; Brassicaceae
Description: long non-coding RNA (BNAP_LNC021941)
Source: RNAcentral